This 497-nucleotide ribosomal RNA is filed under the name uncultured bacterium. Its description in RNAcentral is "partial 16S ribosomal RNA". It matches the Rfam family "Bacterial small subunit ribosomal RNA", at positions 28 to 507 of the family's 1533-position model. The record is from RNAcentral.
GAUGAACGCUGGCGGCGUGCCUAAUACAUGCAAGUCGAGCGAACAGAUGAGGAGCUUGCUCCUCUGACGUUAGCGGCGGACGGGUGAGUAACACGUGGAUAACCUACCUAUAAGACUGGGAUAACUUCGGGAAACCGGAGCUAAUACCGGAUAAUAUAUUGAACCGCAUGGUUCAAUAGUGAAAGACGGUUUUGCUGUCACUUAUAGAUGGAUCCGCGCCGCAUUAGCUAGUUGGUAAGGUAACGGCUUACCAAGGCAACGAUGCGUAGCCGACCUGAGAGGGUGAUCGGCCACACUAGAACUGAGACACGGUCCAGACUCCUACGGGAGGCAGCAGUAGGGAAACUUCCGCAAUGGGCGAAAGCCUGACGGAGCAACGCCGCGUGAGUGAUGAAGGUCUUCGGAUCGUAAAACUCUGUUAUUAGGGAAGAACAAAUGUGUAAGUAACUAUGCACGUCUUGACGGUACCUAAUCAGAAAGCCACGGCUAACUACGUG